This is a long non-coding RNA of Raphanus sativus (radish), 1092 nucleotides long. RefSeq lists it as uncharacterized. The record is from RefSeq and is a predicted model, not a curated record. NCBI's taxonomy places the organism in Eukaryota, Viridiplantae, Streptophyta, Magnoliopsida, Brassicales, Brassicaceae. The transcript has 5 exons.
AUUUGGUUUCCUUUAACAAAAACUCAUGGUCUUCCUGCCAUGGGUUCAUCAUGUUAUUGAAACUCUGAUUUGUUCACCCGAGAUUGGAGUUUCGGGAAGGCUUGAGACCAAUCUCCGUGACGAAUCGAUGGAUCGAGAUGUUUUUGUGUCGAUUCGUUUUAGUUUCUUAUCCCCUAAACUGUUACGGCCAUUAACGACUUUCUCAACUACUUCGACCCACUCCGAGUCCGAUUUGCUCAUUCAAUACAUCUUUCCUCUCUCCAGGUGGUGUAUCUCCAUCUAUUAAAAGAUGAGCAAAAGAAGACUCAAAGCUUACUGCCGCUUCAGAGAAGAAGGAGAUGAAGCAACUUCUAUCCAUUGCUGGAUCAGCUGCUGAGUCUGUGCCGGGUUGGGUCUCCAGUCUCCACCAAAGUUCGUCAAAUUUUGCUCGGUUUCUGGAUUUCACCAUUACCGUUGUUCAUACCCAAAACUUUCCUAUGACAAUCAUCAAGGGUUGGAGAAGACGAGAACCAAAGUGCUGUCCUUACUUCUUGAUGAACGAUUUGUGAGAUUCUUCUAUUGCUUUUAUCGAUUUGACAAAUUUAGAGCCAUCAUGAUGAGAUUCAAGAUGUAUCAAAGCAAGGUGAUUGUGGUUCAGGGCUUCGCGUCAUUGAUAAAUGUACACCGGCUGAACAUCUUCUAACACUUAUUGAGUGAAGGGUCUGUUUAUCACCUGGGUGCUUUUGAUGUAACAAGAAGGAACCGGAACGUCUUUGUGGAGAUAUCUGAAACGGUUCAAACCAAUACCGAUGGAGCACUUCAGGUUUCUGAAUUAUGACCAACUAAUGAUAUUGUUGGGCAAGUAAAGGGGACUAGAGACUCAGAGUACAACUCAUGAUGUUUACCAUAAGCAUCCAAAGUUCAUGAGUGUAGGGAACAUGGGAGAGGUUUGAGGAAGUGGGGAAAGGACACCCGACGUGGCUUAGGGACAAAGAGGACCAAAUGAUGGUGCAUAUUUUCUUUAAUUUUUUCCUAAUUGAAAUCGAUCCUUUGUUAAACUAGAGUCUGUAAAGAUAUUAGUUUUUUUAAAUUUGAUAGUGAUACGAUUUUACA